This 407-nucleotide ribosomal RNA is filed under the name uncultured archaeon. RNAcentral's name for it is "bacterial SSU rRNA". It matches the Rfam family "Archaeal small subunit ribosomal RNA", at positions 1 to 411 of the family's 1478-position model. The record is from RNAcentral.
UUCCGGUUGAUCCCGCCGGAAGUCAUUGCUAUCGGGGUCCGACUAAGCCAUGCGAGUCAAUAGUUUUUCGUGAACUAGGCGGACGGCUCAGUAGCACGUGGGUAAUCUACCCUCAGGANAGGGAUAACCCCGGGAAACUGGGGAUAAUACAUGAUAGGUGGAGAGAUCUGGAAUGAUCCUCCGCCCAAAGAUCCUGGCGCCUGAGGAUGAGCCUGCGGCCGAUUAGGUUGUUGGCGGUGUAACGGACCACCAAGCCUGAGAUCGGUACGGGCACUGAGAGGUGGAGCCCGGAGAUGGGGUCUGAGAAACGGCCCCAGGCCUACGGGGCGCAGCAGGCGCGAAAACUCCGCUAAUACGCGAUAGCGUGAUCGGGGGACCCCAAGUGCCCCUGCACUGCAGGGGCUUUU